GGCGGUUCUUGGGUGAUGCACCCUGGAAUCCGGCUCUCUCCUCUCUGGUUCUGGGUGUGUCACCCAAGAAGCU
Molecule: non-coding RNA, 73 nt
Organism: Myotis brandtii (Brandt's bat)
Lineage: Eukaryota; Metazoa; Chordata; Mammalia; Chiroptera; Vespertilionidae
Source: Rfam